AUUGAACGCUGGCGGAAUGCUUUACACAUGCAAGUCGAACGGCAGCACGGACUUCGGUCUGGUGGCGAGUGGCGAACGGGUGAGUAAUGUAUCGGAACGUGCCCAGUCGUGGGGGAUAACGUAGUGAAAAUUACGCUAAUACCGCAUACGAUCUAUGGAUGAAAGCGGGGGAUCGCAAGACCUCGCGCGAUUGGAGCGGCCGAUAUAAGAUUAGGUAGUUGGUGGGGUAAAGGCCCACCAAGCCAACGAUCUGUAGCUGGUCAGAGAGGACGACCAGCCACACUGGAACUGAGACACGGUCCAGACUCCUACGGGAGGCAGCAGUGGGGAAUUUUGGACAAUGGGCGAAAGCCUGAUCCAGCCAUUCCGCGUGCAGGAUGAAGGCCCUCGGGUUGUAAGCUGCUUUUGUACGGAACGAAAAGGUUUCUACUAAUACUAGGAGCUCAUGACGGUACUGUAAGAAUAAGCACCGGCUAACUACGUGCCAGCCGCCGCCGUAA
This 500-nucleotide ribosomal RNA is filed under the name uncultured bacterium. Its description in RNAcentral is "partial 16S ribosomal RNA". It matches the Rfam family "Bacterial small subunit ribosomal RNA", at positions 30 to 523 of the family's 1533-position model. The record is from RNAcentral.